GAUGAACGCUAGCUACAGGCUUAACACAUGCAAGUCGAGGGGCAGCAUGGACUCAGCUUUGCUGAGUUUGAUGGCGACCGGCGCACGGGUGAGUAACGCGUAUCCAACCUGCCCUUUACUCCGGGAUAGUCUCCUGAAAGGGAGUUUAAUACCGGAUGUGUUUGUUUUUCCGCAUGGGAGCGACAAAUAAAGAUUAAUUGGUAAAGGAUGGGGAUGCGUCCCAUUAGCUUGUUGGCGGGGUAACGGCCCGCCAAGGCAACGAUGGGUAGGGGUUCUGAGAGGAAGGUCCCCCACAUUGGAACUGAGACACGGUCCAAACUCCUACGGGAGGCAGCAGUGAGGAAUAUUGGUCAAUGGGCGAGAGCCUGAACCAGCCAAGUAGCGUGAAGGACGACGGCCCUACGGGUUGUAAACUUCUUUUAUAAGGGAAUAAAGUUCGCCACGUGUGGUGUUUUGUAUGUACCUUAUGAAUAAGCAU
This 478-nucleotide ribosomal RNA is filed under the name uncultured bacterium. Its description in RNAcentral is "bacterial SSU rRNA". It matches the Rfam family "Bacterial small subunit ribosomal RNA", at positions 28 to 493 of the family's 1533-position model. The record is from RNAcentral.